This 690-nucleotide ribosomal RNA is filed under the name uncultured Bacteroidota bacterium. RNAcentral describes it as "bacterial SSU rRNA". It matches the Rfam family "Bacterial small subunit ribosomal RNA", at positions 8 to 690 of the family's 1533-position model. Lineage: Bacteria; Pseudomonadati; Bacteroidota. The record is from RNAcentral.
AGGGUUGAUCCUGGGCUCAGGAUGAACGCUAGCGGCAGGCUUAAUACAUGCAAGUCGAGGGGCAGCAGGGGUGUAGCAAUACACUCGCUGGCGACCGGCAAACGGGUGCGGAACACGUACGCAACCUACCCAAAACUGGGGAAUAGCCCGGGGAAACCCGGAUUAAUACCUCGUAACAUAAGUGGAUGGCAUCAUUUACUUAUUAUAGCUCCGGCGGUUUUGGAUGGGCGUGCGCCUGAUUAGGUAGUUGGCGGGGUAACGGCCCACCAAGCCUGCGAUCAGUAACUGGUGUGAGAGCACGACCAGUCACACGGGCACUGAGGCACGGGCCCGACUCCUACGGGAGGCAGCAGUAAGGAAUAUUGGUCAAUGGACGCAAGUCUGAACCAGCCAUGCCGCGUGAAGGAUGAAGGUCCUCUGGAUUGUAAACUUCUUUUAUAUGGGACGAAACCCUCUCAUUCCUGAGAGAUUGACGGUACCAUAGGAAUAAGCACCGGCUAACUCCGUGCCAGCAGCCGCGGUAAUACGGAGGGUGCAAGCGUUAUCCGGAUUCACUGGGUUUAAAGGGUGCGUAGGAGGACAGGUAAGUCAGUGGUGAAAUCUUCGAGCUUACUCGGAAACUGCCGUUGAUACUAUCUGUCUUGAAUCCCGUGGNNGUGAGCGGAAUAUGUCAUGUAGCGGUGAAAUGCU